GAUGAACGCUGGCGGCGUGCCUAAUACAUGCCAGUCGAGCGAACAGACGAGGAGCUUGCUCCUCUGACGUUAGCGACGGACGGGUGAGUAACACGUGGAUAACCUACCUAUAAGACUGGGAUAACUUCGGGAAACCGGAGCUAAUACCGGAUAACAAAUUGAACCGCAUGGUUCAACAGUGAAAGACGGUCUUGCUGUCGCUUAUAGAUGGAUCCGCGCCGCAGUAGCUAGUUGGUAAGGUAAAGGCUUACCAAGGCAGCGAUGAGUAGCCGGCCUGAGAGGAGGCCCGGCCACACUGGCACUGAGACACGGCCCAGGCGCCUACGGGAGGCAGCAGUGGGGAAUGUUCCGCAAUGGGCGAAAGCCUGACGGAGCAAUACCGCGUGAGGGAAGAAGGCUCUUGGGUUGUAAACCUCUUUUCGUAGGGAAGAACAAAAUGACGGUACCUAAGGAAUCAGCAUCGGCUAACUCCGUG
RNAcentral lists this ribosomal RNA (475 nucleotides) under uncultured bacterium. Its description in RNAcentral is "partial 16S ribosomal RNA". It matches the Rfam family "Bacterial small subunit ribosomal RNA", at positions 28 to 507 of the family's 1533-position model. The record is from RNAcentral.